RNAcentral lists this ribosomal RNA (494 nucleotides) under Colletotrichum gloeosporioides. Its description in RNAcentral is "partial large subunit ribosomal RNA". It matches the Rfam family "Eukaryotic large subunit ribosomal RNA", at positions 151 to 668 of the family's 3401-position model. The record is from RNAcentral. Lineage: Eukaryota; Fungi; Ascomycota; Sordariomycetes; Glomerellales; Glomerellaceae.
GAGGAUGCUUUUGGUGCGGUGCCUUCCAAGUUCCCUAGAACGGGACGCCAGAGAGGGUGAGAGCCCCGUACAGUUGGACACCAAGCCUUUGUAAAGCUCCUUCGACGAGUCGAGUAGUUUGGGAAUGCUGCUCAAAAUGGGAGGUAUAUUUCUUCUAAAGCUAAAUACCGGCCAGAGACCGAUAGCGCACAAGUAGAGUGAUCGAAAGAUGAAAAGCACUUUGAAAAGAGGGUUAAACAGCACGUGAAAUUGUUAAAAGGGAAGCGCUUGUGACCAGACUUGCGUCCGGUGAAUCACCCAGCUCUCGCGGCUGGGGCACUUCGCCGGCUCAGGCCAGCAUCAGCUCGCUGUCGGGGACAAAAGCUUCAGGAACGUAGCUCUCUUCGGGGAGUGUUAUAGCCUGUUGCAUAAUACCCUUCGGCGGGCUGAGGUACGCGCUCCGCAAGGAUGCUGGCAUAAUGGUCAUCAGCGACCCGUCUUGAAACACCGGACCA